RNAcentral lists this ribosomal RNA (253 nucleotides) under uncultured bacterium. Its description in RNAcentral is "partial 16S ribosomal RNA". It matches the Rfam family "Bacterial small subunit ribosomal RNA", at positions 524 to 776 of the family's 1533-position model. The record is from RNAcentral.
GACGGAAGGUGCAAGCGUUGCUCGGAAUCACUGGGCGUAAAGGGUGCGUAGGCGGCUUGGUGGGUCUGGUGUGAAAGCCCCGGGCUCAGCCCGGGAAGGGCACUAGAAACUGCCGAGCUGGAGUGCCGGAGGGGAGAGUGGAAUUCCUGGUGUAGCGGUGAAAUGCGUAGAUAUCAGGAGGAAUACCGGUGGCGAAAGCGUUCUGCUAGACCUGUACUGACACUGAGGGACGAAAGCUAGGGGAGCGAAUGGG